This is a long non-coding RNA of Stylophora pistillata, 217 nucleotides long. NCBI's taxonomy places the organism in Eukaryota, Metazoa, Cnidaria, Anthozoa, Scleractinia, Pocilloporidae. The record is from RefSeq and is a predicted model, not a curated record.
GUGGUCUUCAACCUGUUUGCCAUGUCAGGAAACAAAACGCCAAUUGCGGUCUUGGUGAUCUUGGCUUUACUCCCAAGUGCAGUGGCACAUAAAACAUACUACGGAGGCAAAGGCCACAACAGUGCUUCAGGUUGUCGAGAUGACAGCAACUAUUGCCAGGCGUUGAAGUUUAGAUGCGCACACCCCUACAUAAAGAAGAGAUGCCGUUUGAGCUGUA